This 420-nucleotide long non-coding RNA is filed under the name Mus caroli (Ryukyu mouse). RNAcentral describes it as "lncRNA (MGP_CAROLIEiJ_G0005944.1)". Lineage: Eukaryota; Metazoa; Chordata; Mammalia; Rodentia; Muridae. The record is from RNAcentral.
UGCCUCAUGGGGCAGCUCAGAGCUCUGUGUCUAUGAAGGGAGGUUAUGUUUCCUUCUCCGGUGGACCUUCCCAGACCCUCAGGUGAGCUCCAGACUCCACAAGGACACCCCUGAAGUGACGGACCUCUCUCCUUACUUCAUUGAGUGAUCUGCAUUUCGCUCAGAAUUGUGAAGGGAGCAGAUGGAACAGGGCUCUCAGGAGCAAGCGCCUAUACUCUCUUGGCAACUUUCCUCGAUGUCCGGUGUCCACGCCCCUCCUAGCUUUGAGCAUCGCUGUCUACUCGUCCUUGAGAGCGUCAGCAAGAAGGAGAUUACUCUGCCGUUUUCAACCAUCCCUCAUCCCAAUCUUACCAUACUUAUCCUAGACUGGGUCUUCCAGGACCAGAUCUGUGUCUGAUUCACCUCUGUGUUCCCAAAAUU